CAAUAGCGUAUAUUUAAGUUGUUGCAGUUAAAAAGCUCGUAGUUGGAUUUCGGUUAAGAGCGACCGGUCCGCCGUUUGGUGUGCACUGGUUGGUUUUAACUUCCUGUAGAGGACGUGCUCUGGGUUUAACGACCUGGACUCGGAGUCUACGUGGUUACUUUGAAAAAAUUAGAGUGUUCAAAGCGGGCUUACGCUUGAAUAUUUCAGCAUGGAAUAACACUAUAGGACUCCUGUCCUAUUUCGUUGGUCUCGGGACGGGAGUAAUGAUUAAGAGGAACAGUUGGGGGCAUUCGAAUUUCAUUGUCAGAGGUGAAAUUCUUGGAUUUAUGAAAGACGAACUUCUGCGAAAGCAUUUGCCAAGGAUGUUUUCAUUAA
This 375-nucleotide ribosomal RNA is filed under the name uncultured eukaryote. RNAcentral's name for it is "partial 18S ribosomal RNA". It matches the Rfam family "Eukaryotic small subunit ribosomal RNA", at positions 592 to 976 of the family's 1831-position model. The record is from RNAcentral.